UACGGAGGAUGCGAGCGUUAUCCGGAUUUAUUGGGUUUAAAGGGUGCGUAGGCGGGGACGCAAGUCAGAUGUGAAAAUUAUGGGCUCAACCCAUAACCUGCAUUUGAAACUGUAGUUCUUGAGUGAUGGAGAGGCAGGCGGAAUUCCGUGUGUAGCGGUGAAAUGCGUAGAUAUACGGAGGAACACCAGUGGCGAAGGCGGCCUGCUGGACAUUAACUGACGCUGAGGCGCGAAAGCGUGGGGAGCAAACAGG
Molecule: ribosomal RNA, 253 nt
Filed under: uncultured Oscillospira sp.
Lineage: Bacteria; Bacillati; Bacillota; Clostridia; Eubacteriales; Oscillospiraceae
Description: partial 16S ribosomal RNA
Rfam family: Bacterial small subunit ribosomal RNA
Source: RNAcentral